GAUGAACGCUGGCGGCGUGCCUAAUACAUGCAAGUCGAGCGAACGGACGAGAAGCUUGCUUCUCUGAUGUUAGCGGCGGACGGGUGAGUAACACGUGGAUAACCUACCUAUAAGACUGGGAUAACUUCGGGAAACCGUAGCUAAUACCGGAUAAUAUUUUGAACCGCAUGGUUCAAAAGUGAAAGACGGUCUUGCUGUCACUUAUAGAUGGAUCCGCGCUGCAUUAGCUAGUUGGUAAGGUAACGGCUUACCAAGGCAACGAUGCAUAGCCGACCUGAGAGGGUGAUCGGCCACACUGGAACUGAGACACGGUCCAGACUCCUACGGGAGGCAGCAGUAGGGAAUCUUCCGCAAUGGGCGAAAGCCUGACGGAGCAACGCCGCGUGAGUGAUGAAGGUCUUCGGAUGGUAAAACUCUGUUAUUAGGGAAGAACAUAUGUGUAAGUAACUGUGCACAUCUUGACGGUACCUAAUCAGAAAGCCACGGCUAACUACGUG
RNAcentral lists this ribosomal RNA (497 nucleotides) under uncultured bacterium. Its description in RNAcentral is "partial 16S ribosomal RNA". It matches the Rfam family "Bacterial small subunit ribosomal RNA", at positions 28 to 507 of the family's 1533-position model. The record is from RNAcentral.